GAGAGAGAAAACCAAACCCAGUGUGGAGCGUUGGGGUCAGAAGGAUCGCGGCCAACGGUGGCAACCACCGGCGACGAUGAUGACAGACGAUGAUGAUGGCGGGCGACAGAUCUGGUUCUCGCGACGACACACACACUCUCUCGUCUUCUAUUUUUGGGAUUGAAGUUAUAAAAAUGUGGUUUAGAGAGAGAGGAAAAUGAUCUUCAUUCAGUGCUUAUAGCACAACAGUAGUGAUUGAAGCUCUAACUAUAUGCUACUACUGUUGGUAAAAGAUGGGCGUUAUGCCAUCUGGACCAAGUGCUUUAGUUGGAUUCAUUUAGUGCAAACCUUCCUCCACUUCAGCAGUUGUGAAAAAUUAUCAUCUUCAUAGCAUUGUGGGCGAGAUAUCCAUGGAAAAGGGGUUGCCCAAAACAUUGUCCAUGUAAUACUGGCGGUGGGCAGUAUCCAUCACUACGAACUGAAUAUCUUCAGAAGGCUUCCAAUGCCAUUUUCUUUGAUUGAUGAACCAGUUGUUUAUUUGCUUCUGAUCCAGGGCAGUUGAUUCAGCUAGAGCCAGCUUCUGUGACUCCUGUUAACAAAGAUGUGGAACGCAUAAAGAUGAUUAAGGCCAACUAAACAUUACAAUGCAGGCUGAAGAAUGCAUAAAUACAUACAUAUAUAUAUAUAUAUUUUAAUUAAGGUGUGCA
Carya illinoinensis is the source of this 686-nucleotide long non-coding RNA. RefSeq lists it as uncharacterized. The record is from RefSeq and is a predicted model, not a curated record. The transcript has 3 exons. NCBI's taxonomy places the organism in Eukaryota, Viridiplantae, Streptophyta, Magnoliopsida, Fagales, Juglandaceae.